AAUUUUCCCCCACGGGUCCAAGCCUGCCGGAGCAAUGCCGAGGGAGGGAGGAAUGCUUGUGGGUUGUAAACCUAUUUUCUUAGGAAGGAUUUUUGCCGGUACUUAAGAAAUAAGCAUCGGAAGAGUUCGUGCCAGCAGCGGGGCUGAUGCGGGGGUAGCAAGGGUUAUCCGGAAUCAAGGGCGUAAAGCGUCUGUAAGCGGGUUAGUAAGUCUGCGGUAAUAUAAUAGAGCUUAACUGGAAAUCACCAGUGGAAACUAUUAAUAUAGAGUAUGGUAUGUGCAAAGGGAAUUCCCAGUGUAGCGGUGAAAUGGGUAGAUAUUGGGAAGAAUACCGGUAGCGAAAGCGCUUUGGUGGCUUUAAGGGACACUCAGAGACGAAAGCUAAGGUAGCGAAAAGGUUAGAUACCCCAGUAGUCUUAGCUGUA
RNAcentral lists this ribosomal RNA (425 nucleotides) under uncultured marine bacterium. RNAcentral describes it as "bacterial SSU rRNA". It matches the Rfam family "Bacterial small subunit ribosomal RNA", at positions 360 to 804 of the family's 1533-position model. The record is from RNAcentral.